Molecule: long non-coding RNA, 1283 nt
Organism: Pogona vitticeps (central bearded dragon)
Lineage: Eukaryota; Metazoa; Chordata; Lepidosauria; Squamata; Agamidae
Source: Ensembl
UUAAUCUGCACAUCUGCCUCAACCCUAAAUGUCGAUAAAUGAUUGCCGUGCCCUUUUACAGAACUAAUAGGCACAAACACAUUCAAUGCACACAUUUCCAUCCCUGAGAAAUCUAAGACCAAUUAUCAGUUGAUCUCAGGAGAGAACGCUGUUCUUCUUUUACAAAGUGGACAGAAAAACACAGCAUGCCCUUAGAACUUCCUACACAGUAUUAAAUAAGGCACUUUGUGCCCCUUAAAUCCUCCUACACGAUACUUGAACACAAAUGCUAGAUUGUUUCCCCUAGUUUGAAACCCUCCCAAACAACAGGAAAAAAAAGCCAGGAAAAUGUGGGAAAGAUAGUGAUAAGGAAACUCAUGGAGAUUAUUGUGGGUUGAUUCCUGGAUUUAAAUUCUAGAGGGUUGUUGGUAUCAAGCAUCAGAAAAAGACGGAGCAUCUCCCAAACACGUUUGCCAAGACUGCGCUGACCUCCAUUCUAACAAUUUAGCACUCUGUGGAGAGACCACUCUUCAAAUCCAGAAUAUUCUCCAGAGAACUGUCACAAUGAAAACUGCUGUUCUGUCUUGGUGCCUUUUCAACAUCGCCUUUGCCUUACCGAUUCCUUAUGGAACUUCGUCACAUGCUAAUGCCUUGAAGAAAUCAAAAAUAGAGCAGAACUCCCUUUCGGAUUUGAAUUAUGACACCAAGAAGCACAAGGAUCCAGCUUCUUCAGCUGCUCCAGGACUAGCCUCACCUACAGAGGCCCUACUUGAUUCAUCUGCUCAAAUGGUGCCUUCAUAUAGACAGGACUUUCUUCUAGAUAUAAGUGAUGACCCCAGAGACCAGAAGGUAAAGAGGAAGCCAUUUGCUACAUUUGGGAGAUUCUAAAGUUGGUUGUUGCAAAUAUUCAAAACAUUCUGAAUGGUCCUUAAUUCAAACUCGUGGCGUGACAAAGUCACUUAACUUACUCAGGUGUGAGUCAUGAAUAUAUAUGGCAACCCAUAGACUUGAGCUACAGAAGUGAGCUUUGAGCCAGCAUCCUGCCUCCUCUCCAUCUCUUUUGUAUUUAUACCCACUGAUUCUGUCUCCUGAGAUCAAACAUUAUGAUAUGGCCAGCACACGAUUAGACGACAAUAACACAUUUCCCCUCCAGAGAUGUAAUUUCUUCGAAGUUCUACACUUGAGGAAUCCACUUGGAAAAGGAAGCCUCUAUUUAUCUCCUAAUUACCAAUCACAAAACAGAGCAGACUUAAUUGUAAUGGUAACAAGGCUCAUGCUGGGAUAAACAUGUAUCUCUUAAAAUA